Molecule: ribosomal RNA, 377 nt
Filed under: Exosporium stylobatum
Lineage: Eukaryota; Fungi; Ascomycota; Dothideomycetes
Description: [Exosporium] stylobatum partial large subunit ribosomal RNA
Rfam family: Eukaryotic large subunit ribosomal RNA
Source: RNAcentral
UGUGGCCGCCAGUCUUCGCCGUGUAAAGCCCCUUCGACGAGUCGAGUUGUUUGGGAAUGCAGCUCUAAAUGGGAGGUAAAUUUCUUCUAAAGCUAAAUAUUGGCCAGAGACCGAUAGCGCACAAGUAGAGUGAUCGAAAGAUGAAAAGCACUUUGGAAAGAGAGUCAAAAAGCACGUGAAAUUGUUGAAAGGGAAGCGCUUGCAGCCAGACUUGCUUGCAGUUGUUCAGCCGGGCUCUUGCCCGGUCUACUCUUCUGCUCGCAGGCCAGCAUCAGUCCGGGCGGUUGGAUAAAGGCCUAUUAAACGUACCUCCCCUCGGGGAGGACUUAUAGGGUAGGCGACAUGCAACCAGCCCGGAUUGAGGUCCGCGGAUGCUG